Molecule: long non-coding RNA, 3521 nt
Organism: Monodelphis domestica (gray short-tailed opossum)
Lineage: Eukaryota; Metazoa; Chordata; Mammalia; Didelphimorphia; Didelphidae
Source: RefSeq, a predicted model, not a curated record
GGAGCCUGGCGGUCCUCGCGGCCGCAGCCUUUAUAGGCUCCCCGGCCCCGCCCUGAGCCACCCCCCUCCCUCCCUAGCCCCGCCCCGAGCCCAGCGACUGACCGCUGGCGAAAGGGGGGGUGGCGCGCGUCUGUGUGGUUGUGGGGGGAGGUGUGCGUGGGCCUGUAAACGAGCGGUGUUUGCCACUGUCGGCUCGAAGAGCGUCUGCACUUUUUUGUAAAGAGAAAGAGACGCGGGUCGGCCUUAUGUGAAAGAGGACCGUGCCUGAGUCUGCUGGCUGAGGAAAGGAAGGCGUGUGCGUGCGUGCGCGCGUGCGUGGGAGCAUGUUUUGUAUAGGGGAAGUGUGGGGCUAGGCGCAGUGUCGGGGGUGGGGGGAUAGGGCUUGUGCCCAAGGGUGUGGGGAGUGUACGCGAGCGAGCAAGCGAGUCAGCAAGCCAGCAAGCAAGCAAGCCAUCGAGCUCCCCGCCGGCCGCAGUAUGCAGACGGAGGAGGGGAGAGAGCUGUGCCUGCACGGAGAGACAGAGUGUGUGUGUGUGAGUGCGUGUGUGAGUGUGAGCUGCUCCCGAGAACAGGGAUCCGUGAGUUGGUGUUUGGAGGAAAGAGAGCUGAGUGUGAGGGAGAAAGGGCGGUACGUCUAUGGGUAGGAGAUUGUGGACGGGCACGGGCAGGCGGGGUUCCGAGGCCAAACCAGUUUGUACCACCCCCGGCUGCAGCCGCUGGAGGUCCCCUCCAGUCUGACCUCGGCUGCAGGGAAAGCCCCGCCCUGUCCCUGGGGAGGCCCCUUCCACCCGCAGCCAGAUGCCUGGGGUGGGCCCUACCGAGCCCCGCCUUCUCGGCCUGGCCAGACAGCUGUCCCUCUGCUGGGAGAGGCUACGGCCGGACCGACCCUUUCCCGGGAAGCCCCGAGAGAGAGCCGGGGCCCUCCCAAUGGCUCCCGUUCACCACGCGCCCCUCCCCACUCUACAAAAGAUCUGUUAGGUGAUGUAUGCCAAGUCCCCCAGCGGACCGGCACUCUCCAUUAAACAGACACACACACACACACACACACACACACACACACACACACACACGCAGAUCGGGCUGGGUGGUACAAUAGGAAGAGCCCCAUAGCCCAUCUCUAGGGUUGACUCGGGCAAGUUUCUGCACGUCCCCGUGCCUCAGUUUCCCCAUCUGCAAAAUGAAGGAUUGAGCUAGAUGGCCUCUUAGAGCCCUUUCAGUUCUAGGGUCUAGAAGAAACAUUCCCGCCUGCAGAAGGACAAGGUUGACCCAAAGGAUCUCCAGCCGCUGAACCCCACGUUCCCCACUUUACAGAGGAGGACGCCUCUGCAGCUGCGGAGAGGCUGUGUGGGUGAUGCAUGGCCGCAGAGCUGGCACUUUCCAAAUGCAGAAACUUGCUUUGAAGGACCUAUUGCAUCACCUCCUGCAGGCAUUCAAGGUCCUCACCAUAAGAGCCCAUUUCUAGAGUAAUUGUAGGUUUUCCUCACAAGCACCUUAUGAGCAGAAGCAAAGCAACAUCAAAAAAGGAAUAUGGUUUUAUCAGAAGAAAUUCCAUGGAAGAAGAUGAAUGGGGAGGUAGGUGGCUCAGGGGAUAGAGUAGCAGGCCCGGAUGUGAUCCUUCCCUUCCAAUUCAAAACCAGCUUUUGGGGGGCAACUGGGUGGUUCGAUGGAUUGAGGGCCAGGCCCAGAGACGGGAGGUACUGGGUUCAAAUGUGACCUCAGACACUUCCUAGCUGUGUGACCCUGGGCAAGUCACUGAACCCCCAUUACCUAGCCCUUACUGCCCUUCUGUUUUGGACCUGAUACUCAGUAUAGAUUCUAAGAGAGAAGGUAUGAGUUAAAAAAAAAGAAAAAGGAGGAGAUGUAUUAUCAUCUGCUUUGCUUCUGCACCCAUCUCACUUGCAGCUGGUUCCUUCCCUAUGUGUUGUCUCUCCCAUUAGUGUAGAAGCUCCUUAAGAGCUUUUUUUUCUCUAUGUUCCUAGAGCAUAGCACAAUGUUUUGCACAGAGUAAGAGCUGAAUAAAUGCUUAUUUAGUUAUUAUUUUAUCCUUUCCAAAUCUUCUCUGUCAGCUCAAAUCCUACCUCCUGGCAGAAAUCUCCAUGGUUUUCACAGCUACACUAGCACCCUGCUUUGCAGCAGCAGCUCAUGCCUAUCUCUAGCCUAUCUCCCUCCUGAGCAGGGGGGCCCCAUAGUCUAGUUCCAUCCAUCUUGUCCCCCAGAUGCAAAACUUCCUAUUUACAGCUAUGGUGGUCUCCUCCCUCUCUGAAUUGCUACUCACAGUCAACGCCAAACAGUUUGGAACUUAAUUGCUAACUAAAUGUUUCAGGUGUGUGAGUCUUAGAGUUUCCACCCUUCCCUCCCUCCCCGACUUUGAUUUCCUGUAGGCCAAGUCCCAAGAUGCUCCCUCUUCCUAGAUCCAAUUCAGUCCCUAGCACAGGGAUUCUGUGACCAUUCACAAAAGAGCUGUUCUACCACCUCCUCAGCUUCCACUCCACCCACCAUCGACAUCUUGGGUCCCAAAUAGCCACAGGGCGUUACUAAUGCACCCCUCUUCACCCUAUUGUUUGUAGGUUUGAGGGUCACAAACAUUUCUAACAAAGAAUCCUUACCUUACCUCUCACAAUAAUUUAUCCUCUUGCAAAAGACUUCAGAAACAAGCAACAAAUGACCACUGUGCCAAAGGAAUUUUCCAGAAAGGGAUGGAUGGAUGGAUGCAAGAGGGAACAAAAAUCUAGGCUUCCCAGAAGUCCAUGGCUGAAUGAGAAAGGAGGGGAAAUGAGGGAAGAUUAGGAAAGAGUUGUGGAAGGGAAGAAAGAGGAGGAAAGAGGGGGAGAGAGAUCAAGAGGAGAAGAAGGGAUUGGAGGACGUGGGGAAAAGAGGAAGAAGAGAAAAGGGAAGGAUUAAAGGAAGGACAAAAGGAGAGGAAGGGAAGAAAGGAGAGGGAGGAAAGGGAAGGAAUCAAAGGGGAAAACAAGGGGAAGGACAGACAGGGAAAGGAAAGGAGGAGAGGAGGGGGGAAAGGGGGAAGAGAAUAGAGUAGUAAGGGAAAAGAAGGAAUGAGGAAACCGGGAGAAGAGAUUCUAGCAUUUUAGAAUUUGUUCUGGAAAGGAACUUGGAGAAUUUCUAGACUAGGGGACUUUUUGUGCCAUGAACCCAUUUGGCACUCUGGUGAAGAAGCCUGCAGAAAAAUGAUUCGUUAAGAAAUUCUUAAACAUGGUUCCAUAUGGAGACAAUUAGGGUUUUGAUGUUAAAAAAUGACUACUACAAAUAGGAAUAACAUGGAAAUAGGUUUUGAACUAUGUUACAUGGAUAACCCAGUGGAACUGCUGUCAGCUUCAAGAGUGAGGAGGGAAGGGGGGAAUCAUGUAACCAUGGGAAAAGACUCGAAAUUAUUUAUUAAAUUAUAUAAAUUAUUAUUAUAUAUUGUUUUAUUAAUUAAUUCCUAUAAAUUGUUAUAGAUUAUACAGGAGAUCAAAGUAGGGAAGGGUGGAAAACCUAAGAGAUAUAUAAAUUAGAUAUACUAU